GCCGCUCAUCGUCGUCUGAAUCGUCGUCUUCCUCCUCACCCUCGUCGCCCUCGGCGACGGCGUGGUCGGGCGCGAGGAGAGGUGGGAGGUAGGUGGCGGUGGCGAGGGAGCUGCAGGAGGCUCGCCGCGACCAGGUGGCGAGGAUGCGGCGGCGCUUGUUGAAGGGGUUCUCCGGCUUGGCCAGCUCGUUGGCCGCCGCCGCCGGCGACGCCGUCGCCUCGGCGAGGCUGGUGAACGACUUGGACUUGCCGGCGUAGAAGUUGGAGAGCCCCCUCCUGAACAAAUCAAACAAUUUUAGAGCUUCUUAUUCAGAAUAUAUAUAUAUAUAUAUAUAUAUAUAUAU
Molecule: long non-coding RNA, 343 nt
Filed under: Oryza sativa (Asian cultivated rice)
Lineage: Eukaryota; Viridiplantae; Streptophyta; Magnoliopsida; Poales; Poaceae
Description: long non-coding RNA (OSAT_LNC001694)
Source: RNAcentral